CAGCCGUAAACUAUGCGCGUUAGGUGUGCUGGUGACCACGUGUCACCGGGGUGCCGAAGGGAAACCGUGAAACGUGCCGCCUGGGAAGUACGGUCGCAAGGCUGAAACUUAAAGGAAUUGGCGGGGGAGCCCCACAACGGGUGGAGCCUGCGGUUUAAUUGGACUCAACGCCGAAAAACUCACCAGCAGCGACUGUUACAUGAAAGUCAGGUUGAUGACCUUACUAGAUUUUCAGAGAGGAGGUGCAUGGCGUCAGUGACU
Molecule: ribosomal RNA, 261 nt
Filed under: uncultured archaeon
Lineage: Archaea
Description: partial 16S ribosomal RNA
Rfam family: Archaeal small subunit ribosomal RNA
Source: RNAcentral